Molecule: ribosomal RNA, 301 nt
Filed under: uncultured bacterium
Lineage: Bacteria
Description: partial 16S ribosomal RNA
Rfam family: Bacterial small subunit ribosomal RNA
Source: RNAcentral
CAGUAGCCGCGGUAAAACGAAGGGGGCUAGCGUUGUUCGGAAUUACUGGGCGUAAAGCGCACGUAGGCGGAUAUUUAAGUCAGGGGUGAAAUCCCGCAGCUCAACUGCGGAACUGCCUUUGAUACUGGGUAUCUUGAGUAUGGAAGAGGUUAGUGGAAUUGCGAGUGUAGAGGUGAAAUUCGUAGAUAUUCGCAGGAACACCAGUGGCGAAGGCGGCUAACUGGUCCAUAACUGACGCUGAGGUGCGAAAGCGUGGGGAGCAAACAGGAUUAGAGACCCCUGUAGUCCCUGUCUCUUAUAA